CAGCCGCCACGGUAAUACAGAGGGUGCAAGCGUUAAUCGGAAUUACUGGGCGUAAAGCGCGCGUAGGUGGUUUGUUAAGUUGGAUGUGAAAUCCCCGGGCUCAACCUGGGAACUGCAUCCAAAACUGGCAAGCUAGAGUAUGGUAGAGGGUGGUGGAAUUUCCUGUGUAGCGGUGAAAUGCGUAGAUAUAGGAAGGAACACCAGUGGCGAAGGCGACCACCUGGACUGAUACUGACACUGAGGUGCGAAAGCGUGGGGAGCAAACAGGAUUAGAUACCCGUGUAGUCCCUGUCUCUUAUAA
This 301-nucleotide ribosomal RNA is filed under the name uncultured bacterium. RNAcentral's name for it is "partial 16S ribosomal RNA". It matches the Rfam family "Bacterial small subunit ribosomal RNA", at positions 509 to 809 of the family's 1533-position model. The record is from RNAcentral.